Molecule: ribosomal RNA, 119 nt
Filed under: Trifolium pratense (red clover)
Lineage: Eukaryota; Viridiplantae; Streptophyta; Magnoliopsida; Fabales; Fabaceae
Source: RNAcentral
ACCUGCAAUCAUACAUGUAUUAAUACGCUGUAUCUCAUCAUAACUCCGUAAUUAAAUGUAUAUGGGCGAAAUUAGUGUUAGAAUGGGUGACUUCUUGAAAAGUUCUUGUGUUGUACCUC